CCCUUAGAUGUUCUGGGCCGCACGCGCGCUACACUGACGAAGUCAGCGAGCAUGUCCUACGCCGACAGGUGCGGGGAAUCUUGUCAAACUUCGUCGUGAUGGGGAUUGAUUUUUGAAAUUCUUGAUCAUCAACGAGGAAUUCCUAGUAAGCGCAAGUCAGCAGCUUGCGUUGAUUACGUCCCUGCCCUUUGUACACACCGCCCGUCGCUACUACCGAUUGAAUGGUUUAGUGAGAUCUUCGGAUUGGCGCCACUGUGGCUCAGCAAUGGGCUCGGUGGAUGUCGAGAAGUUGAUCAAACUUGAUCAUUUAGAGGAAGUAAAAGUCGUANCA
Molecule: ribosomal RNA, 331 nt
Filed under: uncultured eukaryote
Lineage: Eukaryota
Description: partial 18S ribosomal RNA
Rfam family: Eukaryotic small subunit ribosomal RNA
Source: RNAcentral